Molecule: ribosomal RNA, 468 nt
Filed under: uncultured bacterium
Lineage: Bacteria
Description: partial 16S ribosomal RNA
Rfam family: Bacterial small subunit ribosomal RNA
Source: RNAcentral
GACGAACGCUGGCGGCGUGCUUAACACAUGCAAGUCGAACGGAAAGGCCCUGCUUUUGUGGGGUGCUCGAGUGGCGAACGGGUGAGUAACACGUGAGUAACCUGCCCUUGACUUUGUUAUAACUUCAGGAAACUGGGGCUAAUACCGUAUAGGAGCUCCUGCUGCAUGGUGGGGGUUGGAAAGUUUCGGCGGUUGGGGAUGGAUUCGCGGCUUAUCAGCUUGUUGGUGGGGUAGUGGCUUACCAAGGCUUUGACGGGUAGGCGGCCUGAGAGGGUGACCGGCCACAUUGGGACUGAGAUACGGCCCAGACUGGUACGGGAGGCAGCAGUGGGGAAUAUUGCACAAUGGGCGGAAGCCUGAUGCAGAAACGCCGCGUGCGGGAUGACGGCCUUCGGGUUGUAAACAGCUUUCGCCUGUGACGAAGCGUGAGUGACGGUAAUGGGUAAAGAAGCACCGGCUAACUACGUG